GUUCUCUCCCUCUUCACACGCCCCCACACUUCCUGCUCUUUCCUGGGCCUGGAAGCGGAAGUACUGAAACACCGAGACAGACUGUUCUUACGGUUUUUAGAGGCUGGCUGAAACCAGGAAGGCCUGGAAAUCGGAAGGCCAGCUAUCUCUGGGACCCAAGAGCUGGGCCUCAAGACCCUUGAGCACAUUUCCAACCCUCCUCUGGGCUGGUUGGACUCAGCAAGAUCAGUCAAGGACUUGCUCCUAGCAGCUCUUUCUUUGUGCAUUGACAGGGCAGUUACCCGUUCUUUUGGCUUCAUUUUCCAUUUAUAACCGGAAGGGUGGGUCUUUAGUGGAGACACUGCUAAUGCUUGUUUCCUGAUUAUAGAGUCGUGUACCUGCUGAUUCAUUCAUUCAAGCAUACUUCUCGAUUAUCAGAUGUCCUCCAUGAAGAGCCUUCCUAGAGCUUACAUGCCAAUGGAGGAAACCAAGGAAACAAAACGAAUAAAGCCUGUGUUAUGUAAGAGGGCCGAAUUACUAUGGAGAAGCCUGGAGGAGGGUGUAAGGAGUGUUUGGUUGGGGAUAGUGCAAUUGUAAGUUGGGUUAUGAGGGCAGGCUCAAAAAGAAGGUAAUAUUUGAGUUGUGGGAGGAAGCCACAUGAAUAUGAACUGAGAGGAUUCCAGACAGAGAAAAUGGCACGUGCAAAUGCCCUGAGGCUAGAAGCCGCCUGGUGUGCCCCGGCCACAGCCAGGCCACCAGGGUGACUGGAGCCAAGUCAGCAAGGGGAAGAGUGGAAGGACAUAUAGUCAGAGAGGAAAUGGGGUCAGAGGGUGUCAGGAGGGCCUUGAGAACAGGGGAAGUCUUUAGGUUUUCUGUAAGAAGGGGAGCCUCUGGAAGGUUCUGAGCAGAAAAGGGACAUGGUCUGAUAGACUAAUGUUGAAUUAGCUACUUUUGCAAAAGCACUGCCACUUCCUACUGACUGGCCUGAGCCUGAGGAGCCAGGGGUCAUGGAUCUGAAACCCGAGUGAGCCUCCUGACUGCAUGACGAGGCAUCGCCCGCACUGGAGUGGAGGCCAGGGAGCCUCCGAGAGUUGGGGGGACCUUCUCGGACUGGUAGCCAUACCGCUAGGAAGCAGAUGAGAUUGGGCUCUGGGCCUCACUCUUGGCCAAGGCCCCGCGGCCUCGUCACACGCUCGGAGUCUUCUGAGUGACAGCCGCGCUGGUGGCUGGGACGUGUGCGCUCAGAGCAGUGCGAUUUAUAAGACAGCUGCUCCAUGCAUCAUUAUUCGGGUGCAUGAGGGAGCAAAUGCCCCCCGAGGGGUGAUGAGAACCUCUUCUUUCUCUACGGACCACACGCAUUUUUACUUUCACUCGCGUUUUCUCAGUGGGUCAACCACGUCACUUCUUCGACGGGUCGUCCACAGUGUUUGCUGGUUAUUGGUGCCAACUCCACCGUUACUUGCUUUUGAAAAAAAAAAAAACCUGACCCACUCUUCUCACCGAGGCUUGUCUUAAACCAUAACCUCCUGGAAAAUACCCACAUUUGAAUUUAUAAGUUGCGUUUUGGUUCACUCCUGACUCUCCCUGUUCCUCAAACGUCUGUGAAAGGGGUGAUGUUGGUCUUCCCUCCCCUCCGGCCUGUGGCUGCAGCUGGGACCCUUGCAGGCCGACCUGUGGAGGCUCGUGCUUCCUCUGCAGCCCCCCGCUCUGGGAAGCUCCCCGCGGCUCGGACCCCGCACCCCUACCACCGCCUGGAAGCCCCUCCCGGGACACUGGGCGAGACAGAGACUUCGUCACCCUACUCAGGCCUUUGGGACUUGGCACGAGAGCGUGUGCCUGAGAAUCCCUCAGGUACCUUCCAGAAGAAACCGCUCUGAAGCGAUAUCUCGGGCAGGACAUGGGGCCUGGGUGGUGACACUCCAAGGACACAGAGGCAGCUCCACGUUCCCUCCUUUCUCUCAACCCCUGCCUUUUCCUCACGAGGCAACAGAGCGCUCGGACUAUUGAAUCGUCGUGGUCCCCAGUCAGGACCAUCUCACGUCAGAUCUGGACGGAGACGAAGGCAGAUACUUAUUCGUUCGUUGGAGGUAGUUUGUGGCAGUGUCGUCAGCCCCUCCCUGACUGAACCCUGUGUUCUUCUGGAACGGCCACACGGCGGGAGAGGCCGCCCGGUAGAAGAGGUGAGGGCUGUCCACACACUUUCUUCCCUGCACCCCGAACACCAGGGGAGAAAGGCAGGGAGGACGGCAGGCGAGCCGGAGGCCACGGGCCUUGACAGGAGCAGCAUUCCCGACUUCGUGUCCAGAAAGCGGAGUUCAAAUCCCAGCCUUGCCAAAGCGAGUUCUUGGGAUCCCGAGCCAUUGACCUGACCCUCCUGUGAGUCAGCUUUCUCCCUCGUAAGAGGGGAGGGGGUUCCCGUUUCUUGACCCUGCUGCCCACGUGGAUGCAGCGGGGGGAAGACCUCUCAGCGCAGCGUCGGGCACACCCCGGGCACUCAGCCAUUCUGCGGCCCUCCUCCCUUCUGCGAGGGGUCUCUGCCUCCUCUGUACCAAGUGAUUCUGGCAGCGUUGUCUCCGUUCGAACUGCUGAGGCCUUCCAGUGAGACAAAGCAGGCCCGUAGGGAGUGAGCUCAAAAGCUCUGGGAAGCUGUGGUCGGAGUGGGCUGCCCUGUGGAGCUUAAAUCCUGAUGCUAUGUUUAGAAGGGGGUUCCAAGCCCUGGAGAGGCUGCUCCGGGGUGCCUUUCUGCUUGGAGAGUCUGUGAUUUGGUGGCCUUUGAUCUCACAUCAUAGGUAGGGUACACAUAUAAUUUAUUGUCCAGACUAGGAAACGUUUGAGAAUGAAAGAGGCUGCCAUUAAAAAUUACAACGAGAGAGCAGGUGUAAACCAGGACUGUUUCAGGCAAGUGGGGUGGAUCUUUACCUGACUCACAUUUUGGCCCCAGGCUCUGUGUGAGUUUUCAGCCUUCAUGCUCACCUGGUUUCUAUGCAUUUGAAUCAUGUCAGUUUUUUUCCUCUUCAGCCGGCAACUUCGUUUUGCAGGCAAGGACUUUCUGGAAAGAAGGUUAAAGGCCCUUGGCACAGGGUGCAUGUAAAUAACAUGUCAGAUGGACAUAAAGAGACAUAUGAAAGCCAGAGGGCGAGCCGAUGCAGGAUCCAGAAAGUCCUUCAGCUCCCCCACCACCCGUCCCCCUCAUGCCUGCCCCAGCAGGCAGGCCUGCAGCCUCCUGGCGACCAGCUGUGGAGGGAAGGGACAGGCUGGGGGAAGGGCAGCCAGAUGCGGCCCGCAGAAAACCUAGACCAAAUUUCGUGCUCUCAGUGGCUGGCUCUGAUGUUCCAGACCCACAGGGGUGAAGAGGAAAGGGAGCACUUCAUCCCCGCAUUCUGCAGAGAACCAUCAGGGCCGUCACUUGGAAACUGAGGACAGCGUACCUAUUACAUCCACUGUCCAGGGUCACUCAGGAUAAAACAAUGUAAUGGACAUGGUGUAGCUUACAGACUGCAAAUGCCAGGUGGCAUCCUAAUUGGAGAUCUUCAAUUCGAACUCCUGAAUUUACAGAUGAAGAUCUACAGAUGGCCUCCCUGGAGGUCAACAGACUGGCCCGGUGUGGGUGACUCCCUUUACAGAGAGAGAUGUUGACAGCUUGUGUGUGAUGGGGGAGUGGGUGGCCGAGAGGGUAAAAUCUAAGAAACAGAGACAACCGGGGACAAAUCGAGGAGGCAAAAACAUUUUCAGGGACCUUGAUUUAAAUCUCUGCUAGAUGAAGUGAGAAAAAUGAUUCUGUGGUUAUUUUUUAAGGGAGUGGGAUCUUUUCACAUCUUUUCUUCCUCACCAUCGACUGGAGUUGAUCUCAUCCGAGGUUUCGAGGUGAGAGCUGAUGAGGCUAGCUACCCAGCUAUGCCAUUCUCUUAAUAAAGAUGCUCCUUUGGCCUGACUGCUCCACUCAGACACUAACACAGUGGCCAGGUUGGAAAAGAAUAUGCAGGCCAGAGCAGAUCUGUGUGAAGCAGGAGAAGGUCAAGGCAGCUUUAGCAGAUCAAUGAAGGGCACGGCCUCCAGAGCUGGGCGGCCUGGAGAAAAAUCCCAGUUUCGCUGCUCACAGCUGUGCUGCCUUGGGCGAGUUCUCCAAUCUUUCCGUACCUUCGCUUUCUCCUCUGCAGAAUGACAAUAUGAACUGUACCCUCAUCACAGCAUGAUGUGAGGCUCAAGCGGGUUAAUACAUUGAAGAUGUUUGGAAAGGUACUUGGCGCGCAUUUAACUCUCUUCACUUGUUUCUUAAAUAAAAAUAAAAUGCAUAAGGGUGUCAAAGGUGGACAUGGGUGAGAGGCAGUAGUGAGGAGUAGUAGGAAGGAUGCUGGAUUUGUCAUCGGACAGACUUGCAUUCGGAUCCUGAUUCCACAACCUUUUUUGAUCCACGUUUGUAUUUUUCUGGUUAUUAGGGGCAUAUGUGUUUAUAGCAGAAAAUUUAGAAAAUCCAGAAAGCCAGCAGGAAGUAAAUAAAGACCACCCCAAUUCCAGCACCUGGAGGUGGUCACCAGGGAAGGACGGUUGGCAAUGAGAACCGCCUCCGGGUUUGGUCCUGAUGCUGGGGGCUUGUAGGUUUUCACGAUUCCUCCUCUGUUUGCAUAUCCCUCAGGGAGAGAUCCAGGGACUGCCUGAGGGCAAGGGCCUGUGAAUGCCUACUAAAUAAAACAUUUUUUUUGACAAUGAUGAGACCCUUAAUAGGCACCUCGGAGCCCUCAAUCUAUAUACUUUUUACAGUUCUCGGUUCCCAACUGUGAGGAGCUCAGUCUUCCAGCGAGACAGCAUGCCAAGCGUUUAGAUUGAAACUCAUAAAUUUCUUCUUCCAACUUCCCUGCUGUCAUUACUUGGCCGCCCACAUUAUUGUUGCCAACUGCCAAGUGUGGCUGUGAGUGACAGGUAGAUUCUUUGUGCCUGAUGUGGGUCACGCUUGCGCUUGGUCUGAGCGCUUUUGUUUAAUGCUCCACAAGGAGGCCAGAGCCAAGGAGCAGAGCAGGAGUAACAGGAGAAGUCUGCUGGGUGAUGAUUUGGCAGCUCAAGGAAAGUUGUAAAUUAGGCUGUCAGAAGGGAACUUUCUGGCAAACUCAGUGAACAAACACAAGGUGUGAGGUGGCCAGUACUUGUAAUAAGCUAACUUUCUCUCUCUCACUGGUGGUUUCCUCUUGUUGGUCUUUUGGUGAAGUGGUUAGACGUGUUAACUAUCACCCAAACAGAAUCUGAAAGGCUUUGGGGUUGGGGGGCACGGGGGUGGCCAAGAGUGGUGAAGAGGAGGGGUACGAAUGCACAGGUCUACAGUCAGAGCAAUAUCCGUGGCCUUUGGAGGUUGGUUGAUGGUGUCAUCAGAUCCCCUCCUGGGCAUUAUCCAUGAGCAAUGAAAUGGCACACAAGCCAAGUUUUCUUGUCAUUUUAGUGACUUCAGUUAGACAGUACCACAGUAACCCACUCUCUCUGCUGUUAGUGUCAUGCUGUAAUGUAAAGUCAUGAGAUUAAUAUUAUAGAAAUUUGAAGAAGGUUUUCUGUCUCUUCUCCCACUUAGUGGACCAAAACACACACACACGCACGCACACAAACCAAACAAAAAACGCCCCCAAACCCAACAACAACAAAACCCCCAAAGCCCUUGGUAUGUAUGGUCAACCCCAUUGUAUAAAUUAACUUCCCUAUUGGAACUGUGUUCUUUAGUCGAAGUGACAGCAAUUCACACCGAUGACGUUCUUAGAAAUAGGUCUAUCUUUUGCACUAAGGUCCCCUGCCUCUUGGCACAUUGUUUUUCAAACUUUUUUCAGUAGCAGAAUCUACUUUUUUAGGGUGAGAAGUUAGACAAGGGCUUCACUAUUUAAAACAGGUGGAGUGGACCUUUUCCUGGAUGGAGUGAGAGCGAGCACCUCAGAUGCCCCCCGCUGGACCUGUCUCUUCUGCUGGCCGUCUCUACUGAAUCUCAUGGCUUUGUGGGGCAGCGGUUAAAAUCCACUGACAGAGCAUCUGCUACCGUCCGUUUCAAGUGCAGCCACUUCAUAUGCAGAUGGCACGUGGCUGCAGAUCUUCCUUGGGAUCAUCCCCGUAAAUUCAGCCCCAGCUGGAAAUGAUCGUGGGGGAAAACAUGGCGUCCUCCUUUCAUUGUCCUGUUCACCAGCAGUGGAAGCCCGGGCUUUCUGAGGAAGAAAGAGCUCGUAGACAUACUGAGGACACACGCAGUCUGAUGGCUCCAAAGGGAUGAAAUAGCACAAUAAAAUGAAACAAAAAACCCCAACAAACAAAACUCUGGGUAUUCCCAAUUUAAAUUGGCUCUGCAAUGGCUAAGACCCACCAUGAUUAUAUGAUCAUUAGUGGCACUGCUACUAAUUAUGAUGACCGCUGCUACUAUUUGUUAUGGGCUCAUUGUUUGCCACUUGUAUAUAAACAAAUACAUGUAUAUUUAUACAGAUAUUAAAUAUUUCAUAUAUUACACAAUAUUAUAUAUUCAUAUAUGUGUGUGUAUAUAUGAAUAUUGACAUAUAUAUUAUAUAUAGUCAUAUGUGUGUGUGUUCAUACCCUAGUUCUAAUCCAUGCCAAAAAACCCACAGACCUGCCUGAGAGAUAGAUAUUACUCCUAUUUCGGUUAAUGUACAAGGAAAGGGAGUUCCACAACGUUGAAGCGGCUUGUCCAGAGCGGAGUUGCCAGUAAGGGCAGAGGCAGGAUUGCCACAGGUGUCCGACUUCAAAGCCCUGAUGUGUCCUCAUCACCACACCGACCCUUGUGAGUAGAGGCCGGGCGAGCACCUGAGACACGGUGGCAUGGGCUCACGUGGUGGCAACACCGCUCACUUCUGUGACAAGCCAAGGGUCGGUAGCUGUUUUAGAUAUUUGAUCCUUACUGCAACUUUGGAUAGACUCACCCUCAAAGUGCCCUUUCCAGCGUGUGUCUUUUCCAAAUGCUACAUGUGGAGUUCCAUUUUUCCUCCCGUCAUCUUGCUAAGUUUUUUUUUAAAGAUUUUAUUUAUUUAUUUGCCAGAAAGAGAGAGAGCAAGCAGCAGAGGGAGAGGGAGACAGACGCGGGACUCGAUUCCAGGACCACGAGAUCAUGACCUGAGCUGAAGGCAGACGCUUCUCCUACUAAGCCACGCAGGUGCCCUCCUGCUAAGUUUUUAACCUUUACUUUUUCCCCCCUGCUGCUCCGCAGGUGAAGCUGCUUUUGUUGACUUGAGCUGGGCUCCCUUCCUGUAGCUCAUGCAGAGCUCGGCAGUCUCUAGCUGGGCAUGCCCUCCUUCCUCUGCUAGCGUGGUAGCUGUGGGACGGACACGUGUCCUAGGGACGGAGGCACAGCGAGCAGGCAGAGUGGACAGAGAACGAGAAGGGAUGGCCCAAGCACAGACAAUGACGUGUGAAUUUGUGAAACACUCCCCACCAGGCGUGCAGAACGCCUGGGCCCUUCCAUCCACUAACCUCUAACGUUGUUCUCAGAGGUGGGGAGAGGUCUAUCACAUCCCCACAAAAGGAAACGAGCUUGAUCCAACAAUUAAGGAUAUAAAUCAAUGGGCUUGUUCAAACUUCAUUCAUUCCAUGACACUUUGUUGAGCGCUUGAUAUGGACUAGGAAGGGAUCUAGGGAAUGGCACUGGGAUACAGCAAAAAAAAUCUUAACUGAUUAAUAACAAAGAAGCAAACUAGAGAGCAGAUCUUAAACAUUUUCACUGUGAAAAAGAGGUGGUAAUUAUGUGACAGGUUGGAGGUAUUAGCCAACACCAAUGGUCAUCAUUUUGUAAUAUGUAAAUGUAUCAAGUCAACUGGUCGUACACCUUAAACUUCUAUAAUGUUGUGAAUCCAUCACAUCUCUACACAGCUGGUCAGAAACCAAACAAGCAAACCACCACCACCACCACCACCAUCACCACAAAACGAUCUAAAUGCAGCUUUCAUUCUAGUAGAGGAAGACAGACAAUAAACAAAGUGAGAUAUAGCAUAAGUAAUAUGCUUGUUGGUGGCACACAGUGAAGCAGGAAAAGAGAUGGAAGUGGUUGGGGCUGGCAGGAGGAUGGCAUUGGAGCCGAGACUAGAAGGAAGGGAGGGGACAAACGAUGGGGAAAUCUAGGGGGAGAGCAUUUCAGGCAGAGGAAUCAGCAAGUGCAAAGGUCCUGAGGCAGGAGGGUAGCUACAGUGUUCACAGAAUAGCAGGGAGGCCAAUAUGGCUGGAGCUACGUGUAGCAGGAGAAGGGGUUGGAGAGAUAACUGGAGGCGCACGGGGCCUUAGAGUCACUGUCAGACCUUUGGCUUUUCCUCUGAACGACAGGAGAAGCCACUAGAGUUUUCCUCGCAGAGGAGUAGCAUUUUUCAGGACCAGCAGGGUGGAAAGCAGAUGGUGUGAGCACAAGGACAGAGGUAGGAUGAGCUGGCAAGGAGGCCAUCGCCGUCAUGCAUGUGGGUGAUGCCAAAGCUCGGACAAGGCGGGGAGCAGGGGAGGUGGGAGAAGGGGUCGGAUUCUACAUACAUUUUGAGGAAGAGUCACAUGGAUUUGCGGACAGAUUAGAUAAAGAAAGUGAAUUAUUUGAAGUCAUUUUUUUCUCCCUACCCAAAAGUUAUUUUAGCCAUUUUCAGGCCUAGAUAGGAAGCUAGCUGUGUUGUUUAUUGCCUUCGGUUAGAAGCUUCUUAUAUUCUUUUCAAUAAUGUUUUAACUUUUGAAAUGAUGCAAGUAAACCAUCAUUUUAUUCUUCUUAUAAAAAACCAUAGAGUGCAGACAGAAAACUCCCAUCUAUUUCUCUGCAGUCCUCCUUUUCCAAGAAAGAGAUGAUCCCUAUUAUGUUUGAUUCUUUCUGUGCAUGAACAUGUAAUCAAAUUUAGAGUUUUAUUCUCUUCUGAAAAUGGGAUCAUAUUGUUUACAAUGAUUUGUGCUCAGUAUGCCUCAGAGACCUUUCUAUGUUGGUGUGGAGAGGUCCACCUCAUUCUUCUAAAAUGUUUAGGGAGUCCUCCAAAAAUAUACCUUACUUUUUGACUCUUCUCUCCUAAGCAUGUCUAAAUUAGGGGAUCAAAGACGGGCAUCCACACACAUGUGCUGGGCCACAAAACAUCCACAAGAUGACAUUUUAAGGUUGACAGGGUGAGCCCAGUGAACAUAGCCCAUCUGUUCGAGAUGCUCUCCUGCUCUUGGAAAGCAUUCCUCACCCUGAGUCAUGUCCACUUUUGCAAUGGAAAACUCUGGGGGUAUUUCAUGCCCCUGGUUUCCCAACACCUCUCUCCUUAGCGUGUGUGGCUAGAGGAAGUUAAAGGACCCAGGGAAGCAGGUUGCCUGGCAUUUUAUGGUAAACACGUCUCCCCAGCCACCAUGCAAACAUUGGACUGGACAAGACUAAAUGAUGUUAGUGGCUGAAAAGAAUACUCUGAAUACGUCAUGAAGAGGUGGGAGGGAGCGCAAACACAUCCUAGUAGAAAACCAGUGCUGGGCCUCUUCGGAUAGGAAGUACUGUUUUAAUGCAAGAGGUGGUUGAAUUCGUGGACCAGGGUUUCCAGUGGUUGGGACCACUCUCCAAAUUUAGCAGCUGCCCUUCACUCUGCCCUUCCGGCCUCCAGGUAGGCAACUGGAACACAGUCAUGUCUUCCUCUGCUGUUCACCCACCCGUUUCAAGUUGACGGCAGGGACCUAGUCCCUCAGCUCUGCAUUACCUGUGCCGACGGACGGGAAGAAGGGUCUGCCCAGCUGGGUGGGCCCCUCAGGACAAGAGACGGGGAUAAAAUCUUCGUGAGAGGGGUAGAAGGUUUGCGGUUUAAGCAGGGAUGGGGCUAGGAGGGAGGGCCAGGCAGAGGUGAGAGCUCACGCCAGGCUCUGGGGGCUGGGGAGAGGAGGUGUAAGAAGUCAUGCCGGUGGGUAUUACCAAGCAAGAAUCCAAACAGCGUGAGAGCCUGGGAAGAGGGGUUGUGAUGAGAGAUUAUUAGAGAAACCAGCCAUUGACUGAUGCGGGGAUUUCUGGAAGGGUGAUUACUUUGGGGGAAAUGUUGACUCUGGACUUGCACACAGGAAGGAUGAGAAUACCCAGCAAGGGGGCAGGCAGAGUUGGAAACGUGCACUCGGAAGUCACUUCCAAGCCUCCUUAAAAUGAUAUGACCGGGUGAGGGCUCCAAAGCUGGGGGAGGAGCAAAGUCGCAUCAGAGUCACGCUUACACCAGCUGGCCUGCGAGGAGGUGGCCGGAGGCAGACUGAGCCAAGCAGCAGUGAGCGAGUCAGCUUGGCAGGUGUUCCCGGCUCCAUGCCCAAGGCAGAGCCCUGCACGGGGCUUGAACUCAUGACCCUGAGACCAAGACCUGAGCUGAGAUCCAGAGUGGGACACUUAACCAAAGGAGCCACCACAGUGCCCCUGGACCAGAGGUGGGCUUAGGAAGCACCCUUCUCACUGGUGGCUCCGAUGGAACUGGUCCCCAGAUGAACAUUCGAGAAGCCCUGGGAGGCAGUAAAAGCACCAUCUUGGACAGGCGUUCUUCAGAUAAUGUCAGCCGAAAUGCCUGCCUCCAGGGCUUGGGCAGGCCAUCUCCAGCUUCCAUGUGCUGCUCGGAUUGAGGAAAACCAGUUGGUUUCACCCCGGAAGCCUGCAGUCCCUUCCAGGAGCUCGUACAACAGAAGACUGAGGCAGAGGCCGGCCCUGCUGCAUAUAUUUCAGACAGUCGAUGGACAGGGAGGCCAUUCAUCCAUUCAAGAAACAGUCCACGACACCCCUGUGCGCCGUGUUUGCGUUGUGGGAAGAGAGGUGUGGGAAUAUGUAGUCCCAGGAGAAGACAUUCACGAAGGGUCAGAGGGGCCACUGGGGUGACCCGCCCAUGACAGAUGGAUGUACAGAGGAGGGCCCUAACCCAGGCAGCAAGAGUCCUCUGCCAGCGAAAGGGAAAGACGAAUACAUGUUCACUGAGCACUUACUAUGUGCUGAGCUUCGUGUGAAGAGCUUUGCAGGCUUUGUCCUGUUCGACCCUUGGAGUCACCGCCGAAGUUUGGGACCAUCACCUCCCUUUUCCAGAAUUUAUUUGGUGAUGUGAAAAAAGCAUUUAGAAAAGAUUUCAUGAGAGGUCACACGUGUUUCUUCAGUCCCUCAGAAGAUCAAAGCGGAAUGGAAUAGAACACUGUUCGUCUCCUGGUCCUUUGCGUCCUUCUUGUUUACUGUUCAGCACAGGGAUACUAUUUUGGAAUCUCAGGCAUGAGGGAUGGUACCGAACCUCAGGGAGGUGGCAUGACCUGCUCUGGGUCAAAUGGAAGAGCCAGAAAGAGCCUCUUCACUGAGGCAGUCCUUCCCAAAUCCUGCCCCUUGGACUGGUGCCAGGACAGGACAGAGUUUCCAUGGAAGCAUGCGGAAAUGAGACGAGGAAGGGCAAGGUAGUGAGGUUUUCACAUCACUAAAUUUGUUCCAUUUUAAGAACUGUCUUUUAUUCUAAAAUUAAGUACCUCUUAUUGUGAUGUUGGUAAACUCUCUCUCUCUCUUUUUGUUUUUACUGUUCCAUGAAAUCCGCCUGAGUGGGUCAGGCAGCCUCCCAAUCUUCUUGAUUAAUCACGUUGCUGUUUUCCCCCUGAGCCCCUAGCCCUGGGUAAAGUAGGAAAGGCACCCUCUUACAGAUCGGGCCAUUGUCCCCAAGUGUGGCUGUCACAUGCAAUUUUGGUAUCUGGCCUCCUGGUUUUUGGCUAAAACCCUCUCGGGCUGCUGUGUUUCAGAGAGUCACAGACUGGUGGGCUCACCAUGCAGGCAUGGAAAUGACUUGUUCAGUCUUCUGGUUUCUAAUUGUGAGUAAAUACGUCUUCAGUUGGAUUUGCUAAUUAUUGUGAUUUUUCGCGGUGUGGCGUGGGGGGAGGAGGUUGGAUCGGACGUUUCUAGCAAAGUGCCAUUGGCUAUAUUUGAAAGGCUGUAGCAAUUACUCGUUUUCUGCUUGCUUCUCCAUCUGGGUAGAAAGCAAGACUCAACCCAGACAGGUUAAUUAACUUGCCCACAUCACGUACCAGUGAGAGAGACUAGAAGCAGAGAGCUUCCUACUUCUAAAUAUUACUCAUCAACUUUAAAAUGUAAUCGUGGGAACGACGUGCAAGUUACCAAUGGAAAAAUCCACCCGGCUCUCUGGAAACACUGAGCAAAAAGACACAGCAGGAUCAGAGCGUUCUCAGAUACUUCCUAGCGGUGUGACCUUGACUCGUCGGUGAGCUGGGAGAGCCUCGACUGACUCAUCUGUAUGUUUGAGAUAAGAAUGCGUGAUGUGUCCCGCCAAGGAGUCAGGCUGAGAGUGUGAGUGCCGGCUCAGGAAGAGGACGGCCUGUGGCAUGCUCUCCGUGGUCAGCAGACGACGCUGUUGAGCAGCUAAGAAUGGCUUAUAGCUACUAGACAGAGACCUAAGCAUAGGAUCUUCAACACAUGAAAAGAAAAAAAACGAAGCCGAAGGUAGACUGCUGGUCUGUUGCUGUAAGAUGACAUCAGUGGCCUGGGCUGCUCUGUUUUUCUGCUUUGCCAUCCUUCCUGCAUGGCUUCCAAGUUCAAAGUUGCAAGAUAGCUGGUGAACUGUCACUCUAGGGUCUGAAUUCCAGGUGACAGCAGCAGCCCCCGCCUCCCCUAGAGCGUGUGAAAGAAGGCUGCGGAUCCAGACCCAGCCCUGAUGCAAGUGUUGCAUGAAAUGAGCACUUGCAGUCCGUUGCGGGCUGCAUUCGCUCUGUGUUCCCGCUACAGAAGAACACGGCCCAGAAUGCAGAACCACCCCCCUUCCCCAUCCCGAAGUGCUACUGGGAAGGACAGAAAGCGGAAGUGGACCCUGUUUGGUUCAUGUCAAAGGGAAGUUCGGGAACGACGAGAUUCCGGACGGCGCUGGGAGCGAUCGAGUCCGUUACCCUCCAUGCCUUUGCUGUCUGGGAGGGAAACCUCGUGUUGCGAAAACAGGCCACCACUAAACUCAGGCUGGAAAAUCCUAAUGCAGGCAGUUCCUCAAAAACUCACAGGCCUCCAGGCCAGUGGACAUCCCCCUGUUGUGGCUGGAGUAGUCCAGAGCUCAGUAAUCAAAAUAGUAUAUCACACAAAAAUCGAGGCCAGGGACCCUAUGUGCUUACCUCUGCUUUCCAGGGCCUCACACCCGGAGGUGCCUGAGCGGAGCUCUCAUUAUUAACUCCACCCCUGAAGACCUAGGGCCAGCCUCACGUGUGUCCUCGGGGGCUGUGUGUGCUGCCCAGCCCAGCCCAGCAUCGGGGCCUGGAGCCUAGAAGGACUGCCCGGGCUGGAGGCAUAUUUUUGAGCAAAAGUAGUUCCCCUGGUGAUUAUCGGUAACCUCCUGAACUCUAAUUCUGUGUAGACGCUUAGUACUCCACGCGAUUUUGCUCGUUUAAUCCUCCCCACAGCAGCGGGUAUUACAGAAUGCUCAUUCUACUGAAGAAGCAACAGAGGCUCAGAGAGGGUGAGUAAUUUGCCCAGAGUCACAAAGCUAGGGAAAAGGAGAAACUCGCUCAGAAUUACUAAACCCGGACAUAGAUUUUCCUGGAAAAUCACUGUGACGUCCUGUAAACGGAUUGUAAACCGUCCUUCAGGAAUCUUUAUUUCACUGAAUUCACUGAUUUGUAAACAGCCCACCA
Molecule: RNA transcript, 13542 nt
Organism: Ailuropoda melanoleuca (giant panda)
Lineage: Eukaryota; Metazoa; Chordata; Mammalia; Carnivora; Ursidae
Exons: 14
Source: RefSeq, a predicted model, not a curated record